This 497-nucleotide ribosomal RNA is filed under the name uncultured bacterium. RNAcentral describes it as "partial 16S ribosomal RNA". It matches the Rfam family "Bacterial small subunit ribosomal RNA", at positions 28 to 507 of the family's 1533-position model. The record is from RNAcentral.
GAUGAACGCUGGCGGCGUGCCUAAUACAUGCAAGUCGAGCGAACGGACGAGAAGCUUGCUUCUCUGAUGUUAGCGGCGGACGGGUGAGUAACACGUGGAUAACCUACCUAUAAGACUGGGAUAACUUCGGGAAACCGGAGCUAAUACCGGAUGAUAUUUUGAACCGCAUGGUUCAAAAGUGAAAGACGGUCUUGCUGUCACUUAUAGAUGGAUCCGCGCUGCAUUAGCUAGUUGGUAAGGUAAUGGCUUACCAAGGCAACGAUGCAUAGCCGACCUGAGAGGGUGAUCGGCCACACUGGAACUGAGACACGGUCCAGACUCCUACGGGAGGCAGCAGUAGGGAAUCUUCCGCAAUGGGCGAAAGCCUGACGGAGCAACGCCGCGUGAGUGAUGAAGGUCUUCGGAUCGUAAAACUCUGUUAUUAGGGAAGAACAUAUGUGUAAGUAACUGUGCACAUCUUGACGGUACCUAAUCAGAAAGCCACGGCUAACUACGUA